Long non-coding RNA from Raphanus sativus (radish), 1058 nucleotides. RefSeq lists it as uncharacterized. Lineage: Eukaryota; Viridiplantae; Streptophyta; Magnoliopsida; Brassicales; Brassicaceae. The record is from RefSeq and is a predicted model, not a curated record. The transcript has 4 exons.
CCGAAAUCUUUAAACCGAAAUUGGUAUUCGGUUUGAUUUAAAAUUUGGACCAAGACAAUAAACCAAUUGCUUAUAUAUUAAAUUGUUAAUUAUAAGUUUCCUAAAAACCUAAAGCUAUGUGCCGUCAGUGGAGAUUCAACCUUCUCUAAGCCAUCUUCUUCUCCAUCUCCAGCCACCAUGAAAGAGGAGCCAUCACACCAUUUGAGAAGAGAGACUAAAGCUCAUCAGACAUGUUUAUGGAGAACUGAAGAACGAUCGAUCAAAACUAAGUAUUUCGAAGCCAAAUUUUGAGAUCGGAUCUGCCGAUAAGUCAACUUCAUCAGUGUUUUUCCGUUGAUCUAGAAGGAACCAGAAAACGAGCGAGAUAUCAAUCGAAAGAUCUCGUUGUCAGCUUUCCAGAUCAUCUUCCCGAUCGUAAAACCAAGGCACGGUUGGAAAGUUAUUGACGUUGCUUCUUGGCCAAGGAUAAGCUGAAGCUUUAGUGAUGCAGAUACAGUUCCGACCAGUCUCAGUGUAAAGGCCAAACGGCCGAUCUAAACGAAAGCUUUCAAUCUGGAAAUUUGUAAGUAAGUAGUUGAUUCUUUUAUCUAUCAUCUCCAACAAGCGGAUCGUUAUUUCGAGUUAUUAUCUGAGAAUUAUGCUUGUUUUCGUGAGAGGUGUUUGUGCAGUCUGCGUUUGUGACCAGCCUAGGUGGGAAGCCAUUUUGGUUGAUCAAAUCGUGUCUGAUCGGAGUAAAGUCGGUGGCUACGGACAGAGGACAUCUAGCACUACAUUAUGAACGGAGGGAUUGAAAAGUUAACGAGAGUUCCAGAAUUGCUGUUUCAGAGUCGUCAAGGUUCAUUAUGUGUUUUCUCAGGUUAUCUUCAGAACUCGUGGCAAAGGUGAGACUAGCGGACAGAAGUGAUUGCUAUUGGAUGGGUGCUUUGGGAGUUUUAUUUCUUAUUUUCAGACUUCGGUUUUAUGCUUUUAUCGAUAUUUUCCGAGAAUUAUGUGAAUAUUGGAUUUAUGGUUAGUUAUUGGAUUUAUAAUGAGUAAUAAAUUGAGUAUUUUGAAGAUUA